GCCGGAUGUCGAGGAAGGAGCGGCGUGGCCCUAUCCCAAACGGGCUCGAACGUGGCUGGCUACACGUCCGCCACCAGGCGUCCAGGCCGACCUGAACAAUAACGGACAGACGUAGCAGCCUGACACCUCCCGCCUUGAGAUUAUCCGAGCGUUGCCGAGAUCUCCGGACGGCCAGGUUUAUCGUGAUCUUUUUUUUUUCGAAACGAAGGUUUAGCGCGAUCCAAACUCCUAGAUCGCGAACUCGAGCUCGCG
This 252-nucleotide long non-coding RNA is filed under the name Setaria italica (foxtail millet). RNAcentral's name for it is "long non-coding RNA (SITA_LNC006510)". Lineage: Eukaryota; Viridiplantae; Streptophyta; Magnoliopsida; Poales; Poaceae. The record is from RNAcentral.